This 73-nucleotide transfer RNA is filed under the name Ovis aries (sheep). It matches the Rfam family "tRNA". From Rfam's summary of the family: Transfer RNA (tRNA) molecules are approximately 80 nucleotides in length. Their secondary structure includes four short double-helical elements and three loops (D, anti-codon, and T loops). The record is from Rfam by way of RNAcentral. Lineage: Eukaryota; Metazoa; Chordata; Mammalia; Artiodactyla; Bovidae.
UUCCUGGCAGUCCAGUGGCUAAGACUCUGUACUCCCAAUUCAGGGGUCCUGGGUUCGAUCCCUGGUCAGGAAA